This 253-nucleotide ribosomal RNA is filed under the name uncultured bacterium. RNAcentral describes it as "partial 16S ribosomal RNA". It matches the Rfam family "Bacterial small subunit ribosomal RNA", at positions 524 to 776 of the family's 1533-position model. The record is from RNAcentral.
UACGUAGGGGGCGAGCGUUGUCCGGAGUUACUGGGCGUAAAGAGCGUGUAGGCGGUUGAAAAAGUCAGGUGUGAAAUUUUCCGGCUCAACCGGGAAACUGCGCCUGAAACUUUUCGACUGGAGUUCGGGAGGGGCAACUGGAAUUCCUGGUGUAACGGUGAAAUGUGUAGAUAUCAGGAGGAACACCCGUGGCGAAGGCGGGUUGCUGGACCGUAACUGACGCUGAGACGCGAAAGCGUGGGUAGCAAACAGG